UAGGGAAUCUUCCGCAAUGGACGCAAGUCUGACGGAGCAACGCCGCGUGAGUGAAGAAGGAUUUCGGUUUGUAAAACUCUGUUGUUAGAGAAGAACAGCGCAUAGAGUAACUGUUAUGCGUGUGACGGUAUCUAACCAGAAAGCCACGGCUAACUACGUGCCAGCAGCCGCGGUAAUACGUAGGUGGCAAGCGUUGUCCGGAUUUAUUGGGCGUAAAGCGAGCGCAGGCGGUCAAUUAAGUCUGGUGUGAAAGCCCCCGGCUCAACCGGGGAGGGUCGUUGGAAACUGGUUGACUUGAGUGCAGAAGGGGAGGGUGGAAUUCCAUGUGUAGCGGUAAAAUGCGUAGGUAUAUGGAGGAACACCAGUGGCGAAGGCGACUCUCUGGUCUGUAACUGACGCUGAGGCUCGAAGGCGUGGGUAGCAAACAGG
Molecule: ribosomal RNA, 429 nt
Filed under: Bacteroidota bacterium
Lineage: Bacteria; Pseudomonadati; Bacteroidota
Description: Bacteroidetes bacterium partial 16S ribosomal RNA
Rfam family: Bacterial small subunit ribosomal RNA
Source: RNAcentral